Long non-coding RNA from Arabidopsis thaliana (thale cress), 363 nucleotides. RefSeq annotates it as other RNA. The record is from RefSeq. The transcript is spliced from 2 exons. NCBI's taxonomy places the organism in Eukaryota, Viridiplantae, Streptophyta, Magnoliopsida, Brassicales, Brassicaceae.
AUAUUAUAUUCCAUCUUCCUCUCCUUUCUUCACUGCAUCCUUCGCCUGAUGGUGGAUUUACCAUCGUUUUUGUCGACUGUCAAUCGAUCACAAUAAGCCCACCGUUUGUGAUACUCAUUUUUGGCAUAUCCGGAGAUUUCGUCUUCAUGGAGAUAAAUUCAGGGGGUUUGUACUUCCUGACGUCUGGUAGGGUCGGAGGCUUCAUUAGAGGAAGCAUUGGAGUGAUCUUAUGGGCCACUGUGUCUAAAUGGCGUCGCUUGGGAGGAACACACUUCUGCUGCUGCGUUACACUUUUCAGAUCACCAUUCACACUCUAUGGCGAGAAAGGAAUACUCGAAGACAUGGAGAGGAGGAACCUAUCAC